AGUGAACGCUGGCGGUAGACCUAACACAUGCAAGUCGAACGGCAGCACAGUAAGAGCUUGCUCUUACGGGUGGCGAGUGGCGGACGGGUGAGGAAUACAUCGGAAUCUACUUUUUCGUGGGGGAUAACGUAGGGAAACUUACGCUAAUACCGCUUACGACCUACGGAUGAAAGCAGGGGAUCUUCGGACCUUGCGCGAUUGAAUGAGCCGAUGUCGGAUUAGCUAGUUGGCGGGGUAAAGGCCCACCAAGGCGACGAUCCGUAGCUGGUCUGAGAGGAUGAUCAGCCACACUGGAACUGAGACACGGUCCAGACUCCUACGGGAGGCAGCGGUGGGGAAUAUUGGACAAUGGGCGCAAGCCUGAGCCAGCCAUACCGCGUGAGUGAAGAAGGCCUUCGGGUUGUAAAGCCCUUUUGCUGGGAAAGAAAAGCAGCAGGUUAAUACCCCGCUGUUCUGACGGUACCCAAAGAAUAAGCACCGGCUAACUUCGUG
RNAcentral lists this ribosomal RNA (492 nucleotides) under uncultured bacterium. Its description in RNAcentral is "partial 16S ribosomal RNA". It matches the Rfam family "Bacterial small subunit ribosomal RNA", at positions 29 to 507 of the family's 1533-position model. The record is from RNAcentral.